GAACGUGAGAGUGAUGAGAGAGGGAGAUAGACUGUUAAUUUUUUUUUUUUUUAAAUUAGAGAUGAUAAACUUAAAUGUAGUUGAGGUUUAAAACAAAAAAGGAAAAUUUUGUUUUGUAAAAUUACACUUCUAUUCUUAACUUUUCUAUUGUGAUGGUAGAUAAAGAAUUUCUUCAUACUCUUUUGAUAGAUAAAGAAAAUUUCAUUAAUGUAGUUUUAGAUUAUUCAUCUCUAAUAUUAGAAAGCCAGAAGUGAGUUUUGGUAUCUCAAGGCUUCACCAAAAAUAAUUGGACGUAAAAGCCCCUCAAACAAAAAAACCCAACUCAUGGAAUAAAUUAUAAAGAAAUUUGAUAAGGGAUAGAAUUGUCCAAAUAAAAAAAAGUCAUAAAAUGAUAAAAUAGAAAUAGAAAAUAAAAAAGAAAAAUAAAUGAUAAAUACAACUACCUCACAUAUAAAUAAAAGAGAAAAACAUUGAACAUGGGAUUCAAACCUCCACGUUUCCUUUGCACGCAUAGCAUUGCUUCCCAAAUCCUCCCCCCCCCCCCCCCCCCCAACUUCCCACUCCCACAUCAGUAUUUCCUCUACGUCUCUGGCUUUGCAAACAGAGCGGAAUGGUUAUAAAGAGGAAAUAAACCGUCAGAAAAAAAAUGGGUACAAAAUUCCAACAACGUGGCCUCAUAAACUUGACUAGAAGCUUUCAAGAGGAGUAAAUGAAUUUUCAAUACAAAAAUGGAGCGGUGGUUUUGGAUUUUUUUUUUAAUUUAGGUUUACUUCUGAAUUCAUAAGUUAAUAAUUCCUUUUGAUUUUUGUUUUGGUUAUCCUUUUUUAUCUUGCAAAUUCAUGACGAAGGAUCGGGGUACAGAAGUGCACGUUCAUUCAUUUGCUCAACGUUUACGGUUUUACGGUGUCCUUGAAUUUUUAAUAAUGCUUUUUGUUUUGGAUUUUUUCUUUUGGUUCAAAAUUGACUGAAUCAGUCCUUAACAGUUCGUAUAUUGUACAAAGGAGUGUUAUGUAAUGUUCCAUAUUCCUAUGAAUAGCAAUGCCAUUGUGGUUGUUUUCUUGGCACCAUGAAGAUGCAGUUGACCCACGUUAAUCUACUUUCUGCAUGGAGUUUCGCGCUUCCAAACUACUGCAGCCUCAUUGGUCACUGGGUCAAGGUGAAGCAUCAUGUUAUAUGUAUGAAGGGAUACAAUGAUUUGGUGUUGUUAUCGUAGAAAGUGGGCUUGCAGGUUUCAGUUCUCACCCAUUUGCAUGCUAAGAAUGUACACAAAUCGGUAGAAAGAACUGCUUUGAAAUUCUUUCAGUUUUGGCAAGGAUACAUUUUCCAGAUCGAUGAACCCAGAAGAGAUAUGUUCACUGAAGGACUUGAUAGGAGCGCCCUUCAUUGGGUUAGAGAGGUUUGUGAAUAAAAAUCAUUACCCACUUUCUUUUUUCGAAUUAAAAAAAAAAGUAGGGUUUAAUUUUUACUGUUGUUUGAUUUAGUUCUCAGCAUCAUUCGUGGUAUUGUAGUGAUUCACUACCCGAUUAAUAAAACCCAUAUUUUAAUUCUUUUAAUUUUAUGGAUUUUUGGCAUCUGAUUUUGGUUUUUGAAUAAAUCUAAUUUGUUUACUGUUAGUCAAAUUUGUUUAGAUCUUUUCAUCGGGGGUUACAAACAGCAACGCUCUCUUCCUGAAGAAUAGCGAAUUUGGUCUCGGUUUGAAGAAAAUUUGAAGCCCAUAAAAGAUUGCAUCUCCUGCUGUCGAUUUGAUUUGGGAGAUUGGGUUUUUCGAGUUUGUGACUGUUCUUAGGAGCCUGCGAAGACCUGUGUGUUUAAGGUCAGUGAAUUUGAAAUUCCAAGGUUUUGAUUCUACUUGCAGCCUGAGGUGUGAUUUUAACCCAGAUUAGUUAAUAUAAUUAUUUUUUUUUUCUGAUUAUGUAACUGAAGUAAACGUGGUUUGUAGGUUUUGCAGAGAAAAGGUCCUGCGGAAAUCAUUUCAUGUUUUCGUUUCAUAUUUUCUAAUUUGGGUGUUUCAAAUUUGUUUCUACCACUUAUGAAAAAAUUCCAAGAACAAAGACUAAUAAUCUUCUCCUGUUUUGUGGUUAAUUUAUGAAAACAGGGGAAUUAUGAAUGUUGUGAGACUUCACUUCUAUAUGGUCUGAUGCAUAAAUGUGUUUGAUGUUAUUUUAUGAAUAUGUUAAAUGGGUUAAGAUGCAUAUCGUUGUUUACAGGGUAUAAAAAAUAGUUAGCUACUUUUUUUUGUGCUUUGGGGAUUUUAUCAGAUUUGAAAUAAGACGAAGAUGAAAUUAAUUUCGAACAAAUUAAAGAAUGCAAAAUUUUGUUAUUUGGUUAUUGAUUUAUUAAUGGUAAUGAGCUAUUCAACUUUUUUUAUUUUAAUUGUGAGAGUUUUCUAACUUUCUUCAUGUCUUGGGUUCUCUUUUGGAUUCGUUCUCUGUGUUUACAUGGGUUUUGUUUGUGAGUUCCUUUUUUAUGCGUGUUGUUUAGAUUGGUGGUUUGAAUGUGUCAUUUGGUUUUAUUUUUUAUUCCAGGAGUUGUGGGUCUUCAUUUUUUGGGGCCUUUUUCUCUGCCAUUGUAACAUUUUCGUAAUAGAGGUAAGUAAUUUAGAGUUACUCUUUUCAGCCUAUUAUGUAAGAAAGUGAUAAUUCUUUUCGCAUAUUCUGAGGUGUCAGUUUUGUAUGAUCUAAAUGUCAAAUGUG
Molecule: long non-coding RNA, 2693 nt
Organism: Pyrus x bretschneideri (Chinese white pear)
Lineage: Eukaryota; Viridiplantae; Streptophyta; Magnoliopsida; Rosales; Rosaceae
Exons: 5
Source: RefSeq, a predicted model, not a curated record